CUCUCCCUCUUUUCUUCUCUCUCUAAUCUCUCUUUCUCUCUCUAAUCUCUCCACUUUUUCUCUCUACUUUCUUUCUCUAAAAUUCUCUCUCUAUGUUAUUUCUCUCUCCUAAGAUUUUUUAGAAUUUUGAAAAGAAUGAUGAUGAAUUUAAAUGAUCCUAGUGAUGCAUUUUGAUCUGUGAUCAUCGGACGGUACAUCGAUAUCCACCUUGAUAAGGCCUAAUAUUUUUCAAAAUUCUAUUUCUAAUGAUUUUAUUGAAUAUCCACAUGAUAAUUUCAGCAUGAUUUGAUCUGAUCGAUUGGAUUUGUUGAAACAUAUUGUCUGAAGAGUUCAAGAUGAAUUUUCUCUCUAAAUUAUUUUUUUACUAAAACUAUUUCUCUCUCUUGAUCGAUUUUUCUCUCUAAAAAAAUUAUCAAUGAAAAUUUUUUUUAAAUAUUUCUGAUCUGAUGAAGAAUCCUGAUCCAUGAUUGUCAGGUAGUGUACUGGCACUCACCUUGAUCAGACUCGAUAUUUCUCAAUUUGAUUAUCCAUGAUCCUGAUUUAACCAUGACUUGGAUUAGAUCAUUUUGAUCACACCAAUCGAGAUGUUGGACUGUGGCACCCGAUUAAUUUGGAUUGUAUCUCAUGAAUUCUCUCUCCUCUGAUUUUUUCUCUCCACUUGAUUCAUGAACCCAAUGAAAAAACCUCGAUCUUAUCACUUCGAAUCCAAUUUGAUCUGAUAGUCAAACUUUGGAUCGUUUAUAUUCUAAUUAGAUUUUAAUCAGAUGAAAUUAGAUGAUCAGACCACUCGGACGAUAGGAUACGAGUGUCCAUCAAUUCUAUCUUUUUUAAUUAUUCAUGUCUUAUCUAAU
This 851-nucleotide long non-coding RNA is filed under the name Elaeis guineensis (African oil palm). RNAcentral's name for it is "long non-coding RNA (EGUI_LNC065065)". Lineage: Eukaryota; Viridiplantae; Streptophyta; Magnoliopsida; Arecales; Arecaceae. The record is from RNAcentral.